CACAUAGAAACAACAGACACUGGACAAAACAUGUUAAAGUUGCAUGUGUUUACAGUUUUAUUUUCACAUUUUCAUUGGUUUUUACAGUAAAUGUUGCGUACAGCCUUUUUAGGUGAAUCUAUUAUGGGAUUGUGUUUAUCAGCAGACCACCAGAAGCCAAAGGGAAAAAGGGAAGUGGAAAGUAGUUUUGGCUUUUGUGGUUUUGCUUCUGUAGUCUGAGUUUUGGUUAGUUGUUUCGAGGUCACUGCAUUUCUGCAGCACUGGCUCUGCACACGUCACCCCCUGCUGGCCCGGCAUGGGAACACGACGCAUCGGCCUUGUUCCUGCGGUAGGCAGCACCACUGUUGCGUUACUCCCUAGUGAAGGCCGCACCCGAUGUGUAGUUUUCUCAUGACCGGACGGUCGCGGGGGAGGCGCGACCCGCCCUUAGUCUAGCCCAGGAUUUCUUCUCCUCCUCCUCCUCCUCCUCCUCCUCCUCCUCACUGUGGGAAGAGGGAUUGUGUUCAGUACUACAUUUCAUAAACCUUCACCACAACAAAACCUUCACAUUUGCUCAUAAACCUUUAUCAAACAGUACUUUAUCACUGGUGAUGCAAGGGAGUGGCAGAGAAAACAGCAGCAGUAGAGGUCUUGAUACGUAUCAUUGAACGUGUCCCAAUACAGACUUAUUGACUUAUUGACAGUUCUGAGUAGUUGUGAGACAUUUCUUGAUUUACAGCAAUAAAAAGGAAGUCUACUUGUCUCCUUUUUUUACAGAUACAUUAUCUAGGACCUGACAUCUCUGAACAGUAAUAUAUUAUUUUACAGAGAUACUUCAAACAGAGAUAUUUACAUGAUUCAUAGCAAGCAGACAGAAUGGGACUCCAUGGUGACCUGUUAAAGGGUUAUGUUCACCAGCCCUGAAACACAAGGAAUGACAGACUUAGAUGUGACGCAGUCAAUAAUUACAAAACAUGGUCACUUCCCUUUUUUCAGACUCUUUUUCUGAUUCUGAAUUCAAUGUAUUACAUGGUUUAUCAAUAAUUCAAAAGCUAUUCAUUGAAUUAUUUUUCAUAUUUUCUCAAUAAAUCUGCUACUCUCUGAC
This is a long non-coding RNA of Oncorhynchus tshawytscha (Chinook salmon), 1084 nucleotides long. NCBI's taxonomy places the organism in Eukaryota, Metazoa, Chordata, Actinopteri, Salmoniformes, Salmonidae. The record is from Ensembl.